UUAUAUGGUCAAGAAGAGAAGCGCAAACGGUGGAUGCCUUGGCAGUAAGAGGCGAAGAAGGACGUGGAAUCCUGCGAAAAGCUAUGGGGAGCUGGAAACGAGCGUUGAGCCAUAGAUGUCCGAAUGGGGGAACCCGGCUGCAGCGAUGCGGUCAUUUGCAUUUGAAUACAUAGGAUGCAAAGGCGAACUCGGGGAACUGAAACAUCUAAGUACCCGAAGGAAAAGAAAUCAAGAGAGAUUCUCCAAGUAGCGGCGAGCGAACGGGGAGGAGCCUGGCGUGAUUUAUUAUUGAACUGAGUAGAACAAUUUGGGAAAGUUGGCGAUAGAGGGUGAAAGCCCCGUAUACGAAGGUUUGAUGAGGAACUAGGCACGCGAACAAGUAGGCCGGGACACGUGAAAUCCUGGUUGAAGAUGGGUGGACCAUCAUCCAAGGCUAAAUACUACUUACUGACCGAUAGUGAACCAGUACCGUGAGGGAAAGGUGAAAAGAACCCCGGAGAGGGGAGUGAAAUAGAAUCUGAAACCGUUUGCGUACAAGCAGUGGGAGCAUGGUUUAGGCUGUGUGACUGCGUACCUUUUGUAUAAUGGGUCAGCGAGUUACUUUCAGUGGCGAGGUUAACUGCAUAAGGGAGCCGUAGAGAAAUCGAGUCUGAAUAGGGCGAUAGUCGCUGGGAGUAGACCCGAAACCGGGCGAUCUAGCCAUGUGCAGGAUGAAGGUUGGGUAACACCAACUGGAGGUCCGAACCGGGUAAUGUUGAAAAAUUAUCGGAUGACGUGUGGCUAGGAGUGAAAGGCUAAUCAAGCCCGGAGAUAGCUGGUUCUCCCCGAAAGCUAUUUAGGUAGCGCCUCGUGAAUGAUUACUGGGGGUAGAGCACUGUUUCGGCUAGGGGGCUGUCAUGGCUUACCAAACCGAUGCAAACUCCGAAUACCGGCUAAUUGAAUCACGGGAGACACACGGCGGGUGCUAACGUCCGUCGUGGAGAGGGAAACAACCCAGACCGCCAGCUAAGGUCCCCAAGUACUAGUUAAGUGGGAAACGAUGUGGGAAGGCAUAGACAGCCAGGAGGUUGGCUUAGAAGCAGCCACCCUUUAAAGAAAGCGUAAUAGCUCACUGGUCGAGUCGGCCUGCGCGGAAGAUGUAACGGGGCUAAAACUAGUCACCGAAGCUGCGGAUGUGCGCGAAGGCGCACGUGGUAGGGGAGCGUUCUGUAGGCUGAUGAAGGUGCAUUGAGAAGUGUGCUGGAGGUAUCAGAAGUGCGAAUGCUGACAUGAGUAACGAUAAUGUGGGUGAAAAGCCCACACGCCGGAAGUCCCAGGUUUCCUGCACGACGUUAAUCGGAGCAGGGUGAGUCGGCCCCUAAGGCGAGGCUGAAGAGCGUAGUCGAUGGGAACCAGGUUAAUAUUCCUGGACUUUUUAUAAGUGGUGAAGUGGGGACGAAGAAGGCUAGGUGAGCCAGGCGUUGGUUGUCC
Molecule: ribosomal RNA, 1470 nt
Filed under: Legionella pneumophila
Lineage: Bacteria; Pseudomonadati; Pseudomonadota; Gammaproteobacteria; Legionellales; Legionellaceae
Description: partial 23S ribosomal RNA
Rfam family: Bacterial large subunit ribosomal RNA
Source: RNAcentral